AGCCUAGGUCAUGAUAGAUGCCCGUGCCUGGUCUAUAGACGUGCUCGCCAGAAUUGAGGCAACUUCACCCUCCUUUAUCCACCAGGAAAGGCAGGGGCGUGAGGGUGGAGUGGAGUCUGACAGAGAGAAAAUGAUUGACGGACAGUCACCGCUUCCAAUCGGAGUGCCGUGCGCAGGCUGGCCAGCCUAUGGGACUCAGAUUCUAAGGCGAGAGGCGGGCCUCUCAGAUGUAGGAAGUAUUCGUGGGUGUCUGGGUAUUCAGGCAGGCGAAGGGCUUAGCGGCCUCUGGAAAAAGGCAAGCGCGAGCCGUGGACAUGCUCAUGGCGCAGAGGGGGGAAGCCAGCUGCCAUGUCAUGAGGCAGGUGAAGAGGGUCUCAAGGCAAAAAACUGAGUUCUUCCAAGAGCCAAGCCGUGCCGUGUGGCAUGUGGGAUCUUAGUUCCCUGACCAGUGAUGGAACCCGGGCCGCCUGCAUUGGGAGCGUGGAGUCUUAACCACUGGACCGUCAGAGAAGUCCCAUGACCCUCUUUUAGUAUGAUGGAGCGGCUAAAACACACAUCCUAGCUGCCAGGGACCAUCUUGAGUCUAUCUUCUCCCUCCUGCACAGGCAGAACAUCACUCAGUUCUUCCAACCUGGAACUUCUCCUCCCUCACCCUUGUGGCCCUUUGGUCCAUGAAUCACCUGGCUCCACCCUUCCCUGGACAGAGGAGUCAAGGCUUGGGCCAAGCCCGUCCAAUUGGAGUACCACAGCCCAGACCUUAGUGACCGGUCGGUGAAGGGCACAUGAUCCCAGGGUGGUCUCCUUGGAAAUUUUCAUGCCUGAAAAGAGAAAAGACUGCCUUUUUUCAGUGGGGUGGCUGAGCCGGCGGAUAGUAGCCCAUCGGAGGAAAGGCGCCAAAAGAAUCCAGAGAGUGUGAGGUGGAGAGGCAGAUCAGGAGGCCUCAAGGUACUCAGUCUUCAUGUCAAGCCAGGUCUGAAGCCAGAGGCAGUUCUGUAUUUCCUCACUGUGAGAUCCCAUAAAUUCUUCCUCUUUUGCUUAAGUUACUUUGAGCUACUUUUCUGUCUCUUACAACCUAAUGCACUCUCUUGUUUGCCUAAACCCACAACAGUCUCUGAAGGUCUUCACAGGCCCCGUUUAAUCAUUUCAUUCACGGUUGUUUGUUUUAUUUGUAAGUCUCUUCAAAGGAGAGCAUCUAACUAAUCAUCAACAGAGCCCCAGAAUGUCACCCUUCAUCACCCUUCAAAGUAGGCUCACAUCUGAUGCUGGGAUUAGUAACACUUGGUGUUGCAUCAUGAAUGAAUUCACAGGCUUAGUGAUGUUAUCUUGUUAUCUGUUUUCGCUUAGUUGAAUCAUUAAGGAACAAGAUCAUGAAAUAAGUUUUAGAAAAUUGCCUAACUUGAGGGGAAAAUCCACUACAUUUUUUUCACCCUUAAUGUUAGGCAUUCCUAAAGCCUAAAUACAGAAUCAUAUGUGGAAAGGAGGGAUAGUUACAUCCACAUAGAAAUGCUGUGGUGUCAAGAGCAUGUGUUAACCACACACCCAGAUCACUUAAAUUAGUGGAAGAUCUGAUCCUUAUCAUUUGUUUGCCUUACUCACCUCCCUGACAAGCAAUGGUGGUAUCAACCAAAUGUUAUACAGAUCCCUAAAUUUCCCUCAGCCUGCAAAAAUAAAAACUGAGCUCAGAGUAUGUGAAAGAAAUAUGGAACAUGCUUGUAAGAAAAUCUGGAAAUUACUAAGAGCAUUAUUUUUUAACAUAUAUAUACCAAGCAUCAUGAAGGUUAAGACAUUUCCAUCUUCUGUCAUUAACAACAUGAGUUGCAGUCUCAUAGGGAAGGACCUCAUUUGAGUCACAUUCUCAGCAAACAUCCUGAAAGACCAGAAGGCAAGACCCCUACACUCCAGUAGUCAAAUUUUGAGGUUAAGUUUUUGCAUUAACUUAGUGGAUCCUAGAUGAGAAAAUUCAACAAGAAAAAAAAAUGAGGGCAAAUCUGUAAUGGUCAGCAUUUAAUUUUUUUGCAUUAGUUUAGAGUCAGUGGUUAUAGAUAUAGUCAUAAAUUUAGUACGUUAUAGCAGAGGCUUACAAAGGAAUUGUAAUUUAAAUAUAAUGCAUUCAUUACAUAUUUAAGUAAAUUUCACUUUGAAAAGAGAGAAAGUAUAUUUCUAAAAUAUACUCAGAGGUAGAGUGUGUUUCUCAUUGCAUCAUGUCAGGGGAUAUAUGGUUUCAGUAAAAAUUAUCACUGCUGAAAUUAGCUUGAUUGCUUGCUUAAGAUCUUUCUUCACUACUUCUCUAUUAUAAAAUCAUGAUUUUCUUCUUUCCAUAUUCUAUUCUUUGGCAUAUGGCAAGUCCUCCCCAUACUGAAGGGGAAGGAAAUGAAUUUCCACUUCUUAGAAGGCAGGUAUCUCAACAUGUUAUUUGGAAUUCUUCCAUAAGGAAGAUUUGUUCCCUCCAUUUAUUUAUUUAUUCAAUAUUUUAUAAAUAUUGGUAUGGGCUGAUGGAUAUUUAUUUUUUUCUUUGGGGUAUAAUUCAAUAUUAUAUAUUUUGCUAGGAAAAUUGUCCCAUAUUUUAUUUAUUUAUUUAUUUAUUUUUGCGGUGCGCGGGCCUCUCACUGUUGUGGCCUCUCCCGUUGUGGAGCACAGGCUCCGGACGCGCAGGCUCAGCGGCCAUGGUUCAUGGGCCUAGCCGCUCCGUGGCAUGUGGGAUCUUCCCAGACCAGGGCAUGAACCCGUGUCCCCUGCAUCGGCAGGCGGACUCUCAACCACUGCGCCACCAGGGAAGCCCUGUCCCAUAUUUUAAUUUUUCCAUUUGUUAUAUAGUUUUCUAGGAAAAUGGUUCCAGCCUUGUCUAUUGGGCGUUCUUUCAUAUUGAUUCAUGUGUCCUUAUAACAUAGAUGGGAUCAUCUUGUGUUUUACCUGGCCCAGCCCUGUAUUCAGCCCUUUUUCCAAAGAGCUCUGGUUUCCCUUUAAUGGAUAAUGGUGUUUAGAAACCAAGAUCUGUGCACUGAAUGUGCUCAUUGCUUUCAGGGUGUCAGUGCUUCUAGGUCUGCUCAGGAGACAGAGCCAAGAA
This is a non-coding RNA of Globicephala melas (long-finned pilot whale), 3064 nucleotides long. NCBI's taxonomy places the organism in Eukaryota, Metazoa, Chordata, Mammalia, Artiodactyla, Delphinidae. The record is from RefSeq and is a predicted model, not a curated record.